RNAcentral lists this transfer RNA (72 nucleotides) under Clinotanypus yani. Its description in RNAcentral is "tRNA-Lys". The record is from RNAcentral. Lineage: Eukaryota; Metazoa; Arthropoda; Insecta; Diptera; Chironomidae.
CAUUAGAUGACUGAAAAGCAAGUACUGGUCUCUUAAACCAUUUAAUAGUAAAGUAGCGUUUACUUCUAAUGA